This 473-nucleotide ribosomal RNA is filed under the name Clostridium baratii. RNAcentral's name for it is "bacterial SSU rRNA". It matches the Rfam family "Bacterial small subunit ribosomal RNA", at positions 13 to 500 of the family's 1533-position model. Lineage: Bacteria; Bacillati; Bacillota; Clostridia; Eubacteriales; Clostridiaceae. The record is from RNAcentral.
UUGAUCCUGGCUCAGGACGAACGCUGGCGGCGUGCCUAACACAUGCAAGUCGAGCGAUGAAGUUUCCUUCGGGAAACGGAUUAGCGGCGGACGGGUGAGUAACACGUGGGUAACCUGCCUCAUAGAGGGGAAUAGCCUUCCGAAAGGAAGAUUAAUACCGCAUAACAUUGCAGUUUCGCAUGAAACAGCAAUUAAAGGAGCAAUCCGCUAUGAGAUGGACCCGCGGCGCAUUAGCUAGUUGGUAAGGUAAUGGCUUACCAAGGCGACGAUGCGUAGCCGACCUGAGAGGGUGAUCGGCCACAUUGGGACUGAGACACGGCCCAGACUCCUACGGGAGGCAGCAGUGGGGAAUAUUGCCCAAUGGGGGAAACCCUGAUGCAGCAACGCCGCGUGAGUGAUGACGGUCUUCGGAUUGUAAAGCUCUGUCUUUGGGGACGCAUAAUGACGGUACCCAAGGAGGAAGCCACGGCUAA